This 442-nucleotide ribosomal RNA is filed under the name uncultured bacterium. RNAcentral describes it as "bacterial SSU rRNA". It matches the Rfam family "Bacterial small subunit ribosomal RNA", at positions 354 to 796 of the family's 1533-position model. The record is from RNAcentral.
GUGAGGAAUAUUGGGCAAUGGGCGAAAGCCUGACCCAGCAACGCCGCGUGGGUGAUGAAGCUCUGAGGAGUGUAAAACCCUGUUAGGAGGGAAGAAACUUCCGAUUUAUCGGAAUUGACGGUACCUCCAGAGAAAGCUCCGGCCAACUCCGUGCCAGCAGCCGCGGUAAUACGGGGGGAGCAAGCGUUGUCCGGAUUUACUGGGCGUAAAGAGCGUGUAGGCGGGACAAAAAGUCAGUUGUGAAAUCUCUCGGCUUAACCGAGAACGUGCGUCUGAUACUAUUGUCCUUGAGUUCGGAAGAGGGAAGUGGAAUUCCUGGUGUAGCGGUGAAAUGCGUAGAUAUCAGGAAGAACACCAGUAGCGAAGGCGGCUUCCUGGUCCGUAACUGACGCUGAGACGCGAAAGCGUGGGGAGCAAACAGGAUUAGAAACCCUUGUAGUCC